UACAGAGGUCUCGAGCGUUGUUCGGAUUCAUUGGGCGUAAAGGGUGCGUAGGUGGCUAGGUAAGUCGGAUGUGAAAUCUCGGGGCUCAACCCCGAAACUGCAUUCGAUACUGCCUGGCUAGAGUACUGGAGAGGAGAUUGGAAUUUACGGUGUAGCAGUGAAAUGCGUAGAUAUCGUAAGGAAGACCAGUGGCGAAGGCGGAUCUCUGGACAGUUACUGACACUGAGGCACGAAGGCCAGGGGAGCAAACGGG
This 253-nucleotide ribosomal RNA is filed under the name uncultured bacterium. RNAcentral describes it as "partial 16S ribosomal RNA". It matches the Rfam family "Bacterial small subunit ribosomal RNA", at positions 524 to 776 of the family's 1533-position model. The record is from RNAcentral.